GUGAAUUGUAAUCAACCCGAGUGGAAUAGAGUGGAAUGGAAAGGAAUGAAAUGGAAUGGAAUGGAAUGGAAUGGAAUGGAAUGGAAUGGAAUGGAAUCAAACCUAGUGGAAUGGAAUGGAAUGGAAUGGAAUGGAAUGGAAUGGAAUGGAAUGGAAUCAACUGGAAUGGAAUGGAAUGGAAUGCAAUGCAACUGAAUGGAAUGGGAUGGAAUCAACCCGAGUGGAAUGGAAUGGAAUGGAAUGCAGUGGAAUGGAAUGGAAUGGAAAGGAAUGGAAUGGAAUGGAUUGGAAUCAACCC
RNAcentral lists this long non-coding RNA (298 nucleotides) under Homo sapiens (human). RNAcentral describes it as "HSALNT0304197". The record is from RNAcentral. Lineage: Eukaryota; Metazoa; Chordata; Mammalia; Primates; Hominidae.